AUUGAACGCUGGCGGCAGGCUUAACACAUGCAAGUCGAGCGGGGUGAUGGUGCUUGCACUAUCACUUAGCGGCGGACGGGUGAGUAAUGCUUAGGAAUCUGCCUAUUAGUGGGGGACAACAUCUCGAAAGGGAUGCUAAUACCGCAUACGUCCUACGGGAGAAAGCAGGGGAUCACUUGUGACCUUGCGCUAAUAGAUGAGCCUAAGUCGGAUUAGCUAGUUGGUGGGGUAAAGGCCUACCAAGGCGACGAUCUGUAGCGGGUCGGAGAGGAUGAUCCGCCACACUGGGACUGCGACACGGCCCAGACUCCUACGGGAGGCAGCAGUGGGGAAUAUUGGACAAUGGGGGGAACCCUGAUCCAGCCAUGCCGCGUGUGUGAAGAAGGCCUUAUGGUUGUAAAGCACUUUAAGCGAGGAGGAGGCUCUUUUGGUUAAUACCCAAGAUGAGUGGACGUUACUCGCAGAAUAAGCACCGGCUAACUCUGUGCCAGCAGCCGCGGUAA
This 503-nucleotide ribosomal RNA is filed under the name uncultured bacterium. RNAcentral's name for it is "partial 16S ribosomal RNA". It matches the Rfam family "Bacterial small subunit ribosomal RNA", at positions 30 to 523 of the family's 1533-position model. The record is from RNAcentral.